GUUGAUCAGGUGAUGAAUUGGAUGGAGAUAAGUUUCUUCUAGUUGCAGUUGCAGCAGGAGCAGCCGCAGCUGGUGCCGCACUUGCAGGUGUUGCAGCCGCAGCUGCCGUUCUCCGCCCCCAUCUCUGAUCCUCCGGAAGCAGCACCAGACCCCUUGUUGGUUGCAUCGGCAAGGAAGGUGGUCGUGGUCGUGGGUUCCACCUCAGAGUACUUGCAUCCGCCGCAGCCGUUGCCGCACUGGCAGCUGGAGCCGCAUCCGCAGUUGCCACCGCAGCACGACAUGGUGAUGAUGAUGAGAGCUUCUUCUUCCUUCUCUGGCCUUGUCGGCAACUAGCUGCUGCUUACUUGUAUGGAGCUUCU
RNAcentral lists this unclassified non-coding RNA (359 nucleotides) under Hevea brasiliensis (rubber tree). Lineage: Eukaryota; Viridiplantae; Streptophyta; Magnoliopsida; Malpighiales; Euphorbiaceae. The record is from RNAcentral.